This 232-nucleotide ribosomal RNA is filed under the name uncultured bacterium. RNAcentral's name for it is "partial 16S ribosomal RNA". It matches the Rfam family "Bacterial small subunit ribosomal RNA", at positions 99 to 334 of the family's 1533-position model. The record is from RNAcentral.
CGGACGGGUGAGUAAUGUCUGGGAAACUGCCCGAUGGAGGGGGAUAACUACUGGAAACGGUAGCUAAUACCGCAUAACGUCGCAAGACCAAAGAGGGGGACCUUCGGGCCUCUUGCCAUCGGAUGUGCCCAGAUGGGAUUAGCUAGUAGGUGGGGUAAUGGCUUACCUAGGCGACGAUCCCUAGCUGGUCUGAGAGGAUGAUCAGCCACACUGGGACUGAGACACGGCCCAG